Molecule: ribosomal RNA, 240 nt
Filed under: uncultured bacterium
Lineage: Bacteria
Description: partial 16S ribosomal RNA
Rfam family: Bacterial small subunit ribosomal RNA
Source: RNAcentral
CACGCAGUAAACGAUGAUUACUAGGAGUUUGCGAUAGACAGUAAGCUCCCGAGCGAAAGCGUUAAGUAAUCCACCUGGGGAGUACGCCGGCAACGGUGAAACUCAAAGGAAUUGACGGGGGCCCGCACAAGCGGAGGAACAUGUGGUUUAAUUCGAUGAUACGCGAGGAACCUUACCCGGGCUUGAAUUGCAGAGGAACAUAGUUGAAAGAUUAUGGCCGCAAGGUCUCUGUGAAGGUGC